CCUGUCUCUGCUAUAAUUAGCUUUGAAUACACAUUGAGAAUCAUGUUCAUAGUGUGUGUUUCCCAGCAGACAUGGAUGAGCUGUGUUGUGUUAGGGUUGUCAGGAUGAUCAUUGGAUUAACAUACACAAUGCUGCUCUACCCUUCCUCUGCCACUGAAACACAUAACAUAGUGAGUGUCUGUGUGUGUAGGGGGGGGGUACAUGUGUGUGUAGUAGAUGGUCAUUUAGCAAGGGGUGCUUAAUGGGAACAACAACAGUAAGAGCAGCUGGUGGUGCACCGUUUACAAUGCUGUGGUUGCUCUUUAAUGAACAAUUAAUUUCUUCUUCUCUUUUUAAGUUUGCAGACGACACAACAGUAGUAGGCCUGAUUACCAGCAAAGAUGAGGAGGAGGUGAGGGGCCUGGCAGAGUGGUGCCAGGAAAAUAACCUCUCUCUCAACGUCAACAAAAACGAAGGAGCUGAUUGUGGACUUCAGGAAACAGCAAAGGGAGCACCCCACCUAUCCACAUCGACGGGACCACAGUGGAGAAGGACAUGUUCAGAUGCACAAUUGAGAUCAUCUUGUCGGGCUGUAUCACCACCCGCAACCGCAGGGCUCUCCAGAGUGUGGUACAGUCUGCCCAACGCAUCACACUGCCUGCCCUCCAGGACACCUACAGCACCCAAUGUCACAAGAAGGCCAAAAAGAUCAUCAAGGACAACAACCCCCCGAGCCACAGCCUGGUCACCCCGCUAUCAUCCAGAAGGCAAGGACUGACGCAAGGUCCUUCAGCAUUCACAGCAAAGGAAGACAACCUUGGCCUUACUGGGGAAAGGGAGGAGGAAAUGGGAGGAUGGAGGGUGUGAUGAAGGGAUCAAGGAGGAUGAAGUCAGAAUGACACUGCAAACAGAAACCUGCCGCCACAUGACAACUCCAACAGAGGAGGAAAAUACCAGCUCUGUUUCUAGCUUGUGGCAAUGUCAAAUCAAAUCAAAUCAUAUUGAAUUUGUCACAUCCUUCAUAGACAACUGGUGUAGACUAACAGUGAAAUGCUUAAUUACUGGCCCUUUUCCAAAAAUGCAGAGGUAAAGAUCAAAUCAAAUCAAAUGUUAGUAGCCACAUGCACUGAAUACAACAGGUGUAGUAGACCAACUGUCACGUUCUGACCUUAGUUCCUUUUGAAUGUCUUUAUUUUAGUUGGUCAGGGCGUGAGUUGGGGUGGGCAUUCUAUGUUGUUUUGUUCUGUUGUUAUAUUUCUAUGUGUUUGGCCUAGUAUGGUUCUCAAUCAGAGGCAGGUGUCAGUCGUUGUCUCUGAUUGGGAGCCAUAUUUAGGCAGCCUGUUUUCUAUUAUGUUUUGUGGGUGGUUGUAUCCUGUGUUAGUGUUUUCACCAUAUGGGACUGUUUUCGGUUGUUUGUUUGUUAUUUUGUUCAGUGUUCUGUUGAUUUAUUAAAUAUAUCAUUAUGGACACUUA
This is a long non-coding RNA of Oncorhynchus tshawytscha (Chinook salmon), 1452 nucleotides long. The record is from Ensembl. NCBI's taxonomy places the organism in Eukaryota, Metazoa, Chordata, Actinopteri, Salmoniformes, Salmonidae.